This 771-nucleotide ribosomal RNA is filed under the name Lepthyphantes minutus. RNAcentral's name for it is "SSU rRNA". It matches the Rfam family "Eukaryotic small subunit ribosomal RNA", at positions 993 to 1784 of the family's 1831-position model. The record is from RNAcentral. Lineage: Eukaryota; Metazoa; Arthropoda; Arachnida; Araneae; Linyphiidae.
GAUGAUCGAAGGCGAUCAGAUACCGCCCUAGUUCUAACCAUAAACGAUGCCAGCCAGCGAUCCGGCUGUGUUCCUCAAAUGACACGCCGGGCAGCUUCCGGGAAACCAAAGCUUUUGGGUUCCGGGGGAAGUAUGGUUGCAAAGCUGAAACUUAAAGGAAUUGACGGAGGGGCACACAAGGCUUGGAUAUUGCGGUUCAAUUUGACUCAACGCAGCAAAUCCUACCAGGCCAGGACACAGGAAGGAUUGACAGAUUGAGAGCUCUUUCUUGAUUCUGUGGGUGGUGGUGCAUGGCCGUUCCUGGUUCGUGGAGCGAUUUGUCUUGUUUAUUCAGAUAACGGACGAGAUUCUAGCCUACUAAAUAGACGCUUCGAUCCUUCGAGUCGAGCGUUCUUCUUAGAGGGACCGGCGGUGUUUAGCCGCACGAGGCAGAGCAAUAACAGGUCUGUAAUGCCCUUAGAUGUCCUGGGCCACCCGCGUUCUACAUUGAAGGAAUCAACGUGUGCUUUCCCUGUCCGAAGGGACUGGGUAACCCGUUGAACCUCCUUCGUGCUGGGGAUAGGAAAUUGCAAUUAUUUUCCUUGAACGAGGAAAACCUAGUAAGCGCGAGUCAUCAUCUCGGGUUGAUUACGUCCCUGCCCUUUGUCACACCGCCCGUCGCUAUUACCGAUUGAAUGAUUUAGUGAGGUCUUCGGACUGGCGCUCGGAUUGGCUUUCGGGUCCAGCCGGGGUGCCGGAAAGAUGACCGAACUUGACCAUUUAGAGGAAAUA